Long non-coding RNA from Balaenoptera musculus (blue whale), 3186 nucleotides. RefSeq lists it as uncharacterized. The transcript has 4 exons. Lineage: Eukaryota; Metazoa; Chordata; Mammalia; Artiodactyla; Balaenopteridae. The record is from RefSeq and is a predicted model, not a curated record.
UGAGGGCAGAGGAGAGGACUGGAUCUGAGGGCACCCUGCAGCCAGGACACCCGGCCCCAGGACCUUGGGCUGCUUAGCACUGAGAGGGCCCAGGACGGCUCUGGCUUCAGAGGAGCCUGGGGACCAGACGGCAGGCCAGGGCUCCCUCCCUGGGCCGUCCGCCUCCGUGGAGUGGGAGGGUGGCCCCCUGCCCCCGUCUCCUCAAGACUCUUCUUGGUCAGCGGCCACCCCCAUCCUCCCUGAAGGGGGGGGAUGCCCCCAUCUCCUUGGAAAUGCGGUCACAGCCAAAGGGCAGAGGCCACGCAGUCCAGCCUGGAAAAGCAGUGACUCACUCCAUCCCCCCUCCCCCCAGCCCAAUUCGGCUGUCACACUGGCUUGUGAAGGCCAGAGGGUCACAGAAGAAGGGGCUGUGGGGUGAGCAGGAAGGUUGCUCCUGGGCAGUGCUGGCCAGACCUGGGGUGGCCCCUGGCCCCGCUGGGCACCCAGAGCCCCUUCAAAGGUGCUGGGGUGGGGGUCGCGGAACCCGGGGGGCAGGACAGCAGCCUCUACUCUGCUUAAGUCUCAGCCAAGUUCCCUCUAAGGGGCCAAGAAAGGCAGCGCCUGCCAGCCAAGCGGACAUUUUCCUACCCGCCCGGCAGCCACAUGCGCCUCGGCCGCGACAAAGGCCACACUUGAAGGAGGAGCUCAGGAGGUGGCCCCUGUCGCGCUGGGGGCCUCUGCACGGUCCUUCGGGAAGGACAGACCCUGGAGGGGGCACCGACUGCGCGCAGUCGUCCCGCGCCCUCUCGGUCCCCCAAGCGGCCCCCACGGGAGAACUCGAGGCGGGAGGCACACGGGCCGGGGACUCGCCCAGAUCCCCUUCCUAUCCUGUGCGCUGGCUAGGGACCCGCAGGAAGCCCCCCGACCUCGCACAAAGGCCGGGAUUCGCCUGUUUUGAAACCCAGAGGCCUGCCACUCGCAGCUGCCCAGAGGGCAAAUCCUGGCGUCCGAGAUGGAAGAUGUGACAUAAGCAUCCUUCCUCCGAGGAAAUGGGUGCGGCACCUUCGUGAACACGGGCAGGAAGGAGCCUGCCUCAGACGGGUGAGAUGGAGCCUGCCUUGCCCGAGACAAAAAGAGAUGACCCCACGGCAGCAGGCGGCUUCUUCUAGCAUCACCCCGAGAAAUCACAAAGCGGGGGACAGAGCCUGACUCCCGGCGCCUCCAGCCGCCCCCGCCCCCGCCCCCGGAGCCUGGACAGGCACCUUCCUCUGGCAGGACCCCCCUCCCUCUCUGUAGCAUGGGGAGCGCCCCAUCCCGUCAGAAUCGCUGGGAACCAACCUAGAGGACGAGCCGGGGCGGGGAUGCAGGCAGCCACCCUCCAGCCGUCAGCACUGCUGUUCGUCUGCUGCCCCCUGGUGGGCACGGAGGGCACUGUCGCCACCUGGCUGCCCCUCGACUGGGACGCUCGCUGCCCAGCGGCAGGAAGAUCAGGUUUGGCCUGGAGAAUAGCCAAGUCAGGAGACGCAGGCCUCACUGCUGUGUGUUAGCCAAUCACAACACCUUCCUGAUCCCCAGUGUCCUACUGGGGACACUGACCCACCUGUGCACCUCACAGGGUUUGGGGGAGGCUCCGCUGGGUGGCUGGGUGUGCGUGAAUGAAUGACUGCACGAAUGGAACCUGAUAGGAACUCUCCUCCAAACACUGGGCGUGGGUGUCGUGAGCAGGUGUGGACUGUAUCAACUCAGAGUACACGUCAGGAAGAGGGGACGCCCCUGCAGGACAUCCUACCACCGGCCACAUCUUCUCAGACUCAGAGCUGUUUGCCGGGACCGCCCAUGGCACACCUCCAGGGGGCGCAAUUCCCAUCACAUUCUAGAGAGAUGGCACCCUGGAGAGGAGCCCACAGGCUACAAGUGAACGGUACCCUCUGGGAGUUGCCUCUCAGCUUGGCCCACCUUUAGCACCAUGAGUGAUGGCAGUUUUCCUUAGUGAGAAAGGCCCACACGAAGCACCGGGACAGUCCACAGGAGAGGCAGGAAGCUGGGCGUCCCAGUUCAGUGGCAUAGGUGAAACCCAUGGGGCAGGAAGUAAGGGAGGAGGGUCACAGGCCCCCACUUACCGGGCCCCUCAGCCUCCCCCUGCGCCACCCUUGCCCCCCUUCAGUCUGUCCUCGGCAGCCAGCAAGGACCCAGUGAAACCUUGGUGAGGCCCUGCCACUCUCCAGGGGGCAGGGGGCCCUUGGUGGCUUCCCCCUCACCAGAGAUAAAAUCAAAUCUCAUCGCUUGCAGGUCCCAUGUGGCACAUCCCCUCCCCGAUGACUCAUUCCCACAGCUCUCCAGCCACGCCCAGCGAUGGGCCUUUGCACGCCCAGCACGCCCAGCUCUCCAGCCACGCCCACCUCAGGGCCUUUGCACCUGCCACCCCUCUGCCUGGGAUUCUUGCCCAGAUGGCCACAUGGCUCACACCCUCACUUCCUCUGCUGACCCUCUCCCGCUCUGAGACUCAUUCUUCUCUGCAGUUUCCGCCCCGGUGUCUGUUGCUCCGUCUCAUCCCUCUAGACUGUCAUCUCUGUGGCAGCGGGGGCCAUCUCUGUCCUGUCCCCAGUUCACUCCCAGCAUUGCAAACUGGGCUCAGCCCCUGGUAGGUAGUCGAAAAAGAGUUGUUAAAUGAAACACCAAAUAAGGACCUCCCUGGCAGUCCAGUGGUUAGGACUCCGAGCUCUCACUGUGGGGGGCACGGGUUCAAACCCUGGUCCAGGAACUCAGAUCCCUCGAGCCGCGUGGCGCGGCCAAAAGAAAAAAAACUAAAAUGCCAAAUAAAUAAACCAACAGGUCAGCAAAGCACUGCAGCUACGACUUUAAAAUCCAGUAUCCUCUUUCGUAGAAGUCACAGAAAUGGGUAAAACUGAUACAAAGGUUUAAAAAAUGGGCUAUGUAAUCUGUUGAUGUGUAGCAUAUCUCACCAUUGUUAUGUGAAUCUGUAACAUUACAUCCUGUGAGAUUUGCACUGACUUAGCAUAUUAUUCUAAGUAUUCAUGACUGUAAUAGCCACUCCCGUUUCUUGAGUGCUGCGUGGCUGGCCUGAGGGCUUCGUAUGUGUCACGUGGCCUCCGUUAAGCCUCACAGUGAGGGUAAUAGUCAUUGUCUUGGGUGGUUAAACACAGAAACCGAGCACGCUGGGAGCUGCCCAGCAUCACCGAGCAAGGU